RNAcentral lists this ribosomal RNA (253 nucleotides) under uncultured bacterium. RNAcentral describes it as "partial 16S ribosomal RNA". It matches the Rfam family "Bacterial small subunit ribosomal RNA", at positions 524 to 776 of the family's 1533-position model. The record is from RNAcentral.
UACGUAGGGCGCGAGCGUUGUCCGGAUUUAUUGGGCGUAAAGAGCUCGUAGGCGGCUUGUCGCGUCGACCGUGAAAACUUGGGGCUCAACCCCAAGCCUGCGGUCGAUACGGGCAGGCUCGAGUUCGGUAGGGGAGACUGGAAUUCCUGGUGUAGCGGUGAAAUGCGCAGAUAUCAGGAGGAACACCGAUGGCGAAGGCAGGUCUCUGGGCCACUACUGACGCUGAGAAGCGAAAGCAUGGGGAGCGAACAGG